This 87-nucleotide transfer RNA is filed under the name Parachlamydiaceae bacterium. Its description in RNAcentral is "tRNA-Ser". It matches the Rfam family "tRNA". Rfam says of the family: Transfer RNA (tRNA) molecules are approximately 80 nucleotides in length. Their secondary structure includes four short double-helical elements and three loops (D, anti-codon, and T loops). The record is from RNAcentral. Lineage: Bacteria; Pseudomonadati; Chlamydiota; Chlamydiia; Parachlamydiales; Parachlamydiaceae.
GGAGGGAUGUCUGAGUGGCUUAAGGAGCACGCUUGGAAAGCGUGUGUACGGUAACACGUACCGUGGGUUCGAAUCCCACUCCCUCCG